This 105-nucleotide small nuclear RNA is filed under the name Echinops telfairi (small Madagascar hedgehog). Lineage: Eukaryota; Metazoa; Chordata; Mammalia; Afrosoricida; Tenrecidae. The record is from RNAcentral.
GUGCUCGCUUCGGCAGCACAUCUACUAAAAUUGGAACGAUAGAGAGGAUUAACAUGGCCCCUGCGCAAGGAUGACAUGCAAAGUCGUGAAGCGUUCCACAUUAAA